AAUAGUUAUAAUCUAUAAAAUUAAAAAAUUUGGCGGUAUUUUAGUCUUUUUAGAGGAACCUGUUCUGUAAUUGAUAAUCCACGAUUAGAAAUACUUAUUUUAAAAAUUUAUAUAUCGUUGUAGUUGAAUAUUUUAUUAGAAUUAUAAUAUUCAUAAAUUUAAAUUAGAAAAUAAAUCAAAUCAAGGUGUAGUUUAUAAAUAAGAAGAAAUGGGUUACAAUAAAAGUAUUUUUGGAUAAUUAAUUUAAAAUUAAUUUGAAAUUGGAUUUAAAUGUAAUUUAUUUUAUUUAGAAUAAA
This 296-nucleotide ribosomal RNA is filed under the name Aleochara valida. RNAcentral describes it as "partial 12S ribosomal RNA". The record is from RNAcentral. Lineage: Eukaryota; Metazoa; Arthropoda; Insecta; Coleoptera; Staphylinidae.